This 67-nucleotide transfer RNA is filed under the name Trioceros feae. Its description in RNAcentral is "tRNA-Ala". The record is from RNAcentral. Lineage: Eukaryota; Metazoa; Chordata; Lepidosauria; Squamata; Chamaeleonidae.
GAAAGCCCGUUGAAACUACCAACAUCUCCUGAAUGCAACUCAGACACUUUAAUUAAGCUAGGACUUC